UACGGUGGGAGCAAGCGUUGUUCGGAUUUACCGGGCGUAAAGGGCGCGUAGGCGGUCGUGACAAGUCACUUGUGAAAUCUCCGGGCUUAACUCGGAACGGUCAAGUGAUACUGUCGGACUAGAGUACAGAAGGGGCAACUGGAAUUCUCGGUGUAGCGGUGAAAUGCGUAGAUAUCGAGAGGAACACCUGCGGCGAAGGCGGGUUGCUGGGCUGAUACUGACGCUGAGGAACGAAAGCCAGGGGAGCGAACGGG
This 254-nucleotide ribosomal RNA is filed under the name uncultured bacterium. Its description in RNAcentral is "partial 16S ribosomal RNA". It matches the Rfam family "Bacterial small subunit ribosomal RNA", at positions 524 to 776 of the family's 1533-position model. The record is from RNAcentral.